Molecule: unclassified non-coding RNA, 184 nt
Filed under: soil metagenome
Description: partial internal transcribed spacer 1
Source: RNAcentral
CCGAGUUAGGGUCCUCUAGGGCUCGACCUCCUACCCUUUGUCUACCUUACCUUUUGUUGCUUCGGCGGACCCGUCCCUCAGGGGACCGCCGGGGAGCUCACGCUCUCUGGCCCGCGUCCGCCGGUGGCCCACAACCAAAACUCUUGUUUAAACGUGUCGUCUAAGUACCAAAACUAAUAAGUAA